This 373-nucleotide ribosomal RNA is filed under the name uncultured organism. RNAcentral's name for it is "partial 16S ribosomal RNA". It matches the Rfam family "Bacterial small subunit ribosomal RNA", at positions 527 to 896 of the family's 1533-position model. The record is from RNAcentral.
GUAGGUGGCAAGCGUUGUCCGGAAUUAUUGGGCGUAAAGCGCGCGCAGGCGGUCCUUUAAGUCUGAUGUGAAAGCCCACGGGCUCAACCGUGGAGGGUCAUUGGAAACUGGGGGACUUGAGUACAGAAGAGGAAAGCGGAAUUCCAAGUGUAGCGGUGAAAUGCGUAGAGAUCUGGAGGAACACCAGUGGCGAAGGCGGCUUUCUGGUCUGUAACUGACGCUGAGGCGCGAAAGCGUGGGGAGCAAACAGGAUUAGAUACCCUGGUAGUCCACGCCGUAAACGAUGAGUGCUAAGUGUUAGGGGGUUUCCGCCCCUUAGUGCUGCAGCUAACGCAUUAAGCACUCCGCCUGGGGAGUACGGCCGCAAAGGCUG